GAACCUCACGCAUGUCCCGCACGGAGGCAGAGAGUCACAGUGGCCUGAGCCCGUGCUGGCCUGGGACAAAAGGUUCUAACCUCUAAGUCUGUCCAGGGGCUGCUACAUAAGGUCCUGGCAAAAAGCGUGUGGGGGCCACUUGGGUUAUGAUCAAAGCCCUUACUCUUUCAUCUUUCUCCAAACCCCAAUCCCCCCGCCUCCAUGAAGCCCUCCUGGACUUCGGGGAGAGCGGGCCCCUUGCUUCCUGGGCUGCAGUCACCCGGGCCGGGCCUUCCUCUUCACAUGUGAUGCCCCUGCCUUGGAUCAAAUCUGUGGAGGCCGGGGUGCCGGAGGCUCCGUUGCUUAAGCUUCCGACUUCGGCUCAGGUCAUGAUCUCAGGGUUGUGGGUUCGAGCCCUGCGUGGGCUCCAUGUUGAGCGUGAAGCCUACUUAAAAACAAAACAAAACUGGAGGCCAAGUGGAUAGUGUCCGUUUGUGAAUCAGCUGUGGUCACACAACAGGUGGCCCGUAGGGGCCAGGGGUCACCCACAGGGUCCUCCCGAAGACAUUCCAGCUCAGUCUUCCAAGAAGUACUGCCGGCCACGUAAACCCGGGGGUGCUGCUGCUUCCGAGGGGCCUCCUCCCCGCGAGCUCCGUGUGUCUUCACCCGGGACGGUCCUGGCGGCCAAGGACCGCGUCCUGUUCUAAGGCCUUUUGAAAAGACUGAGACUGAAAGUUGAAACCCAGCUCAGCACGGUCACCUCCGCGGCCACGGAGGCCACACCACCUCUGGUCACACGUGAGGUGUGAAUCACUGAUGAGCACCUGUUAUCUGUGGGAGCACCGCCGGGCGGGGACUUCCAAGGCCGGCAGCAAGUUCAGAGCUUGGCCGGAUGAGGGCCUCCGAGCCCCCAGGCACACAAAGGUUUGUGGGUACCUCCCCACGUUCAUUGUUGAAAAUAAAGCCUUAACCUCCAUGAGGAAGUGAGA
This is a long non-coding RNA of Suricata suricatta (meerkat), 968 nucleotides long. RefSeq lists it as uncharacterized. NCBI's taxonomy places the organism in Eukaryota, Metazoa, Chordata, Mammalia, Carnivora, Herpestidae. The record is from RefSeq and is a predicted model, not a curated record. The transcript is spliced from 2 exons.